Molecule: long non-coding RNA, 489 nt
Filed under: Mytilus galloprovincialis (Mediterranean mussel)
Lineage: Eukaryota; Metazoa; Mollusca; Bivalvia; Mytilida; Mytilidae
Source: RNAcentral
AGAAUUUAUAAGAAUCCAAAAAUAGUUAAUUUCACUACGCGAUUGGAUAAUUUUGACGUUUGUGGUUCAACGUAUAUUGUAAUUCAUAAUAGAAAUAUAUCAUAAUGACAUAUAAUAGAACAAUAUCAUACUGACGGGAUCUUUUAAAGUACAGAGUCACGUAAUAAGAACAAAAGAAAUACAAAAAGUCGCAAAUACAAAACAAACCACAAAAAAAUAAUGAAAGCCAAUACAAACACAUUGACGAGAUGUAUAAGUACCGAGCCACGCGAAACGGAUAUCACAUGAAACCAUUCAACAGUAAAAGUAAUAUUAAUAAUAGAACAAAGACAAAUGAAAGAACUAUAAAACACGUUGUUAAGAUGAUAAACAACAUCAGUACGAAGAAUCUAUACAUCAAGACCAUCGUGUAUUAUUUGAGAAGUUGAUACGGAAUAUUUAUCAACAAGGUCUUGGUACCUUCCGAUGAACUUUUUUAGAAAAAGAGAA